This 1093-nucleotide long non-coding RNA is filed under the name Anas platyrhynchos platyrhynchos (common mallard). RNAcentral's name for it is "lncRNA (ENSAPLG00000024205.1)". The record is from RNAcentral. Lineage: Eukaryota; Metazoa; Chordata; Aves; Anseriformes; Anatidae.
GAGGUGGUGCAAUUAGUCUGUCAUACUGUUCUGUGUUCACAGCAAGCUCUCAGAGCACUGAGAGCUCCAAUAGCCCAGAUUCCAAUAAAAUAGAAGGAAAAUGAGAAAUAAAAUGAGCUGAGAAGAUGAGGAAAGCAAAACCUAUACCCUGCUCAACUCUAGCACUGCAGACAUGGAUCCUUCUUCCUUCGUACUGCUGUGGAAAGGACAUUUAUUCUACAAAAUUAGUUCACAGAACAGUAUUCUGCAUAGGACUUAUUCUAUGCAGGCAGUAUCUCUUCACCACGUGUCAAAUUUAACUGUGCUCCCACUCUACAAGUCCAAGACUUUUAGAUACUGUGCUUUCUGCAACAAUCAUAAUUGCUUAAAUGAAUCUGUGCUGAAUACGUUAAUAUUUGUAGAUUGGAAGGAAAUGUUCCAAGUUCAUUCUUUCUGAAAGGUGUUCAGAGAAGGUUAGUGAUGGUGGGGAGGGGCAAUGGAGACCACAGGACUGGAAGAGAAGAAAAUAUAGGAUAAGUCCAGGAAAAUUUGGCUGCCGUUUAUAUUUCAAUUCUCUAAUUAAGUCACUCUGUUAAUAUAAUUAAAUUAUUCUCUUUGAGAUUUCUUUAGAUUACCAUAUAUUUUCAUCAAGAGAGCAGUACAACAUUGCUGGAAACAAAUGCUGCUUUAAUAAGCUAAAAUCUAUCACACACAAAUUAAAAAUACAGGUAUGCUUUGAAUAUUCUACUCAUUGCUUUAUCUGUAUUCAUAAAAGAUCAGUAAAGGCAGAAAAAUACACACAAGUCUGCAGCUCAUAAAUUUUGGGGAUUCUUUCCUGAUAGCAUAUCUUUGCCUGACAGAAGGGGAGAAAUAUCUUUGUGAAAAUGGGUUAUCCACCUACAUAAUUCUGGCAGAAAGACUGAGCAGUACAGCAAGCCCAUCUCAGGAAAUGUGAACAUUAGUAUGCUUUUUAGAUAUUCAAAUCCUCCUGGAUUUAUGAACUCAUCCUUAUUAGUCUGUUUGAAGCUUAUUCAGCUCGUUUUCCUUCUGCCAUGGUUUUCUGAUCACUUCUGCUGAGAGGAUAACAAAAGCUGCUUCUGACAACACUGGCCAC